AGCAGCCGCGGUAAUUCCAGCUCCAAUAGCGUAUAUUAAAGUUGUUGCAGUUAAAAAGCUCGUAGUUGAAUUUCGGGGUUAGUAGAUUGGUCAUGCCUCUGGUAUGUACUGGUCUCACUGAUUCCUCCUUCCUGAUGAUCCGUAGUGCCAUUAAUUUGGUGUUGCGGGGAAUUUGGACUGUUACUUUGAAAAAAUUAGAGUGUUUAAAGCAAGCUAACGCUUGAAUACAUUAGCAUGGAAUAAUGAAAUAGGACGUUCGAUCCUAUUUUGUUGGUUUCUAGGAUUGACGUAAUGAUUAAUAGGGAUAGUUGGGGGCAUUAGUAUUCAAUUGUCAGAGGUGAAAUUCUUGGAUUUAUUGAAGACUAACUACUGCGAAAGCAUUUGCCAAGGAUGUUUUCAUUAAUCAAGAACGAAAGUUAGGGGAUCGAAGACGAUCAGAUACCGUCGUAGUCUUAACCAUAAACUAUGCCGACUAGGGAUCGGAUGAUGUUAAUUUUUUAAUGACUCA
This 508-nucleotide ribosomal RNA is filed under the name uncultured glomeraceous AM fungus. RNAcentral's name for it is "SSU rRNA". It matches the Rfam family "Eukaryotic small subunit ribosomal RNA", at positions 569 to 1078 of the family's 1831-position model. The record is from RNAcentral. Lineage: Eukaryota; Fungi; Glomeromycota; Glomeromycetes; Glomerales; Glomeraceae.